GAUGAACGCUAGCGGCAGGCCUAACACAUGCAAGUCGAGGGAGAAGCCCUUUCGGGGGCAGAAACCGGCGCACGGGUGCGUAACGCGUAUGCAACCUACCUUUCACAGGGGGAUAGCCCGAAGAAAUUUGGAUUAAUACCCCAUAAUAUUAUUGGAUGGCAUCAUUUGAUAAUUAAAACUGCGGUGGUGAAAGCUGGGCAUGCGUCCUAUUAGCUAGUUGGAGUGGUAACGGCACCCCAAGGCUACGAUAGGUAGGGGUCCUGAGAGGGAGAUCCCCCACACUGGUACUGAGACAGGGACCAGACUCCUACGGGAGGCAGCAGUGAGGAAUAUUGGUCAAUGGUCGGAAGACUGAACCAGCCAUGCCGCGUGCAGGAAGAAUGCCUUAUGGGUUGUAAACUGCUUUUAUAUGGGAAGAAUAAGGCGUACGUGUACGUUGAUGACGGUACCAUAUGAAUAAGCAUCGGCUAACUCCGUG
Molecule: ribosomal RNA, 478 nt
Filed under: uncultured bacterium
Lineage: Bacteria
Description: partial 16S ribosomal RNA
Rfam family: Bacterial small subunit ribosomal RNA
Source: RNAcentral